This 119-nucleotide ribosomal RNA is filed under the name Pteropus alecto (black flying fox). Lineage: Eukaryota; Metazoa; Chordata; Mammalia; Chiroptera; Pteropodidae. The record is from RNAcentral.
GUCUACAGACAAGCUACCCUGAACAAGCCCGAUCCCGUCUGAUCUCUGAAGCUAAGCAGAGUCAGGCCUGUUUAGUACUUGGAUGAGAGACCACCUAGUAAGACCAGGUGCUGUAGGAG